This 1468-nucleotide ribosomal RNA is filed under the name metagenome. Its description in RNAcentral is "bacterial LSU rRNA". It matches the Rfam family "Bacterial large subunit ribosomal RNA", at positions 1379 to 2925 of the family's 2925-position model. The record is from RNAcentral.
GCGGGAGCUAAGCUCAGGCCGCGAGGCGUAGGCGAUGCACAUACGGUAGAAAUUCCGUAACCACCGAACUUUAAGAUGAGGGACACUUUGAGAUAGCGGAACCCGGGCGUUGGUUGACCCGGGCGAAAGGGACCGAAAUAUAGUAGGGAAGUCCGUGAUGCUCGGAGGCGAGAAAAGCUCAUGUGUAUACUAAGGUGCCCGUACCGCAAACCGACACAGGUAGAUGAGGAGAGAAUCCUAAGGCCAACGGGAGAAGGGUUGUUAAGGAACUCGGCAAGAUGACCCCGUAACUUCGGAAGAAGGGGAGCCUCGAAAGAGGCCGCAGUGAAUAGGCCCAAGCAACUGUUUACCAAAAACACAGGUUUAUGCUAAAUCGAAAGAUGACGUAUAUGAGCUGACGCCUGCCCGGUGCCGGAAGGUUAAGAGGAGAUGUCAACCGCAAGGUGAAGCAUUGAAUUGAAGCCCCGGUAAACGGCGGCCGUAACAAUAACGGUCCUAAGGUAGCGAAAUUCCUUGUCAGGUAAGUUCUGACCCGCACGAAAGGCGUAAUGAUUUGGGCACUGUCUCAACAGCCCGCCCGGCGAAAUUGUAGUACUGGUGAAGAUGCCAGUUACCCGCAACUAGACGGAAAGACCCCAUGGAGCUUUACUGCAGCUUAAUACUGGAAUUCGGUAAAUCAUGUACAGGAUAGGUGGGAGACAGGGAAGCAUUGGCGUCAGCCAGUGUGGAGUCGCUGGUGGGAUACCACUCUUGAUUUGCUGGGUUUCUAACCUGCGGCCGUGAAUCCGGUCGGGGGACACUGUUAGGCGGGCAGUUUGACUGGGGCGGUCGCCUCCAAAAGAGUAACGGAGGCGCUCAAAGGUUGGCUCAGCACGGACGGAAAUCGUGCAAUGAGUGUAAACGUAUAAGCCAGCCUAACUGCGAGACCGACGGGUCGAGCAGUAACGAAAGUUGGAGUUAGUGAUCCGGUGGUAUGUGAGUGGAAAUGCCAUCGCUCAACGGAUAAAAGCUACCCAGGGAUAACAGGCUGAUCUCCCCCAAGCGUCCACAGCGACGGGGAGGUUUGGCACCUCGAUGUCGGCUCGUCACAUCCUGGGGCUGUAUUCGGUCCCAAGGGUUCGGCUGUUCGCCGAUUAAAGUGGCACGCGAGCUGGGUUCAGAACGUCGUGAGACAGUUCGGUCCCUAUCUGUUGCGGGCGAAAGAGAUUUGAAGGGAGCUGUCCUUAGUACGAGAGGACCGGGAUGGACGUACCUCUGGUGCACCAGUUGUCCUGCCAAGGGCAUAGCUGGGUAGCUAUGUACGGACGAGAUAAACGCUGAAAGCAUCUAAGCGUGAAACUCCCCCUAAGAUGAGAUCUCUCAUCCUUCAUGGAGUAAGGGCCCAGGAAGACUACCUGGUUGAUAGGCAAGAGGUGGAAGCGCAGUAAUGUGUGUAGCUGACUUGUACUAAUAGCCCGAGGGCUUGACU